RNAcentral lists this ribosomal RNA (296 nucleotides) under uncultured bacterium. Its description in RNAcentral is "partial 16S ribosomal RNA". It matches the Rfam family "Bacterial small subunit ribosomal RNA", at positions 28 to 324 of the family's 1533-position model. The record is from RNAcentral.
GACGAACGCUGGCGGCGUGCUUAACACAUGCAAGUCGAGCGGUAAGGCCCUUUCGGGGGUACGACGAGCGGCGAACGGGUGAGUAACACGUGGGUGACCUGCCCUCAGCUCUGGGAUAAGCCUGGGAAACUGGGUCUAAUACUGGAUAUGACUCCACGGUGCAUGUCGGUGGGGUGGAAAGCCUUGUGCGGCUGAGGAUGGGCCCGCGGCCUAUCAGCUUGUUGGUGGGGUGAGGCCUACCAAGGCGACGACGGGUAGCCGGCCUGAGAGGGCGACCGGCCACACUGGGACUGAGA